UACGUAGGGUGCGAGCGUUGUCCGGAAUUAUUGGGCGUAAAGGGCUCGUAGGCGGUCUGUCGCGUCGGUCGUGAAAACCUGCAGCUUAACUGUGGGCGUGCGGUCGAUACGGGCAUGACUGGAGUUCGGCAGGGGAGACUGGAAUUCCUGGUGUAGCGGUGAAAUGCGCAGAUAUCAGGAGGAACACCGGUGGCGAAGGCGGGUCUCUGGGCCGAUACUGACGCUGAGGAGCGAAAGCGUGGGGAGCGAACAGG
This 254-nucleotide ribosomal RNA is filed under the name uncultured bacterium. RNAcentral describes it as "partial 16S ribosomal RNA". It matches the Rfam family "Bacterial small subunit ribosomal RNA", at positions 524 to 776 of the family's 1533-position model. The record is from RNAcentral.